UUCGGAUNGUAAAGCUCUNUUGUUAGGGAAGAACAAGUGCAAGAGUAACUGCUUGCACCUUGACGGUACCUAACCAGAAAGCCACGGCUAACUACGUGCCAGCAGCCGCGGUAAUACGUAGGUGGCAAGCGUUGUCCGGAAUUAUUGGGCGUAAAGGGCUCGCAGGCGGUUUCUUAAGUCUGAUGUGAAAGCCCCCGGCUCAACCGGGGAGGGUCAUUGGAAACUGGGAAACUUGAGUGCAGAAGAGGAGAGUGGAAUUCCACGUGUAGCGGUGAAAUGCGUAGAGAUGUGGAGGAACACCAGUGGCGAAGGCGACUCUCUGGUCUGUAACUGACGCUGAGGAGCGAAAGCGUGGGGAGCGAACAGGAUUAGAUACCCUGGUAGUCCACGCCGUAAACGAUGAGUGCUAAGUGUUAGGGGGUUUCCGCCCCUUAGUGCUGCAGCUAACGCAUUAAGCACUCCGCCUGGGGAGUACGGUCGCAAGACUGAAACUCAAAGGAAUUGACGGGGGCCCGCACAAGCGGUGGAGCAUGUGGUUUAAUUCGAAGCAACGCGAAGAACCUUACCAGGUCUUGACAUCCUCUGACAACCCUAGAGAUAGGGCUUUCCCUUCGGGGACAGAGUGACAGG
This 630-nucleotide ribosomal RNA is filed under the name Bacillus aerius. RNAcentral describes it as "bacterial SSU rRNA". It matches the Rfam family "Bacterial small subunit ribosomal RNA", at positions 417 to 1038 of the family's 1533-position model. The record is from RNAcentral. Lineage: Bacteria; Bacillati; Bacillota; Bacilli; Caryophanales; Bacillaceae.